UACGUAGGUGGCAAGCGUUGUCCGGAAUUAUUGGGCGUAAAGGGCGCGUAGGCGGCCUGAUAAGUCAGAUGUGAAAUCCCGAGGCUCAACUUCGGACUGGCAUUUGAAACUGUCGGGCUAGAGUGCAGGAGAGGAAAGUGGAAUUCCUAGUGUAGCGGUGAAAUGCGUAGAGAUUAGGAGGAACACCAGUGGCGAAGGCGACUUUCUGGACUGUAACUGACGCUGAGGCGCGAAAGCGUGGGGAGCAAACAGG
This 253-nucleotide ribosomal RNA is filed under the name uncultured bacterium. RNAcentral's name for it is "partial 16S ribosomal RNA". It matches the Rfam family "Bacterial small subunit ribosomal RNA", at positions 524 to 776 of the family's 1533-position model. The record is from RNAcentral.